Molecule: ribosomal RNA, 2782 nt
Filed under: human gut metagenome
Description: bacterial LSU rRNA
Rfam family: Bacterial large subunit ribosomal RNA
Source: RNAcentral
GAUCCGCAGAUAUCUGAAUGGGGGAACCCACACCGUAAGGUGUAUCCGUAGCUGAAUACAUAGGUUACGGAGGCGAACGAGGAGAACUGAAACAUCUAAGUAUCCUCAGGAAAAGAAAUCAACCGAGAUUCCGGCAGUAGCGGCGAGCGAACCCGGAGGAGCCCAGCUUUUGAUAGUACGAACUUUAGCCGAAAGGUCCUGGAAAGGCCUGCUAUAGUGGGUGAUAGCCCCGUAGGCGAAAGAGUUGGUACGGUACUAAGGAAGCGAGAAGUAGAGCGGGACACGUGGAAUCCUGUUCGAAGACGGGGGGACCAUCCUCCAAGGCUAAAUACUCGUGAUCGACCGAUAGUGAACCAGUACCGUGAGGGAAAGGCGAAAAGAACCCCGGGAGGGGAGUGAAAUAGAACCUGAAACCGCAUGCAUACAAACAGUAGGAGCCUCGUCAGAGGUGACUGCGUACCUUUUGCAUAAUGGGUCAGCGACUUACAUUCUGUGGCGAGCUUAACCGAAUAGGGGAGGCGCAGCGAAAGCGAGUUCGAAAUGAGCGUUCAGUCGCAGGGUGUAGACCCGAAACCAGAUGAGCUAUCCAUGGCCAGGUUGAAGGUGUGGUAACACACACUGGAGGACCGAACCGACUAGUGUUGCAAAAUUAGCGGAUGAGCUGUGGAUAGGGGUGAAAGGCCAAACAAAUCUGGAGAUAGCUGGUUCUCCCCGAAAACUAUUGAGGUAGUGCCUCGUGUGUCGCUCCAGGGGGUAGAGCACUGUUUUGGCUAGGGGGACAUGGAGUCUUACCAAACCAAGGCAAACUCCGAAUACCUGGAAGCGUAAGCACGGGAGACAGAGCACCGGGUGCUAACGUCCGGACUCAAAAGGGAAACAACCCAGACCGCCGGCUAAGGUCCCAAAUAACAGCUAAGUGGAAAACGAAGUGGAAAGGCCGUGACAACCAGGAAGUUGGCUUAGAAGCAGCCAUCCUUCAAAGAAAGCGUAAUAGCUCACUGGUCGAGUCCUUCUGCGCGGAAGAUGUAACGGGGCUAAGCUGUUAACCGAAGCCGCGGAUGCGCUGGUUAUCCAGUGCGUGGUAGGGGAGCGUUCUGUAAGUCUGCGAAGGCGGUUCGAGAGGACUGCUGGAGAUAUCAGAAGUGCGAAUGCUGACAUGAGUAACGUUAAAGCAGGUGAAAAGCCUGCUCGCCGUAAGCCCAAGGAUUCCUGCUCUACGUUCAUCGGAGCAGGGUGAGUCGGCUCCUAAGGUCAGGCCGAAAGGCGUAGCCGAUGGGAAUCAGGUUAAUAUUCCUGAACCUGCGUCAGAUGCGAUGGGGGGACGGAGCAUGGAAGAUCAUCCGGGUGUUGGAAGUCCCGGUUGUUUAGCGUAGGAGGUCUGCAGGCAAAUCCGCAGACGCAUCUCCAAGGCAAAGACACGUGCCGCCACGGCGGCGAAGUGAUCGGAAGUGCUUCCAAGAAAAGCCUCUAAGCCCCAGUCUGACGCGGACCGUACCGCAAACCGACACUGGUGGGCGAGCUGAAUAUGCUCAGGCGCUUGAGAGAACUCGGGAGAAGGAACUCGGCAAAUUGACACCGUAACUUCGGAAGAAGGUGUGCCGUAGUACCGUGAGAGGAGAGACACCUUGAGCGGGAAACGGUCUCAGAGAAUAGGUGGCUGCGACUGUUUAUUAAAAACACAGCACUCUGCAAAGUCGAAAGACGACGUAUAGGGUGUGAUGCCUGCCCGGUGCUGGAAGAUUAAUUGAUGGGGUGAGAGCCCUUGAUCGAAGUCCCAGUAAACGGCGGCCGUAACUAUAACGGUCCUAAGGUAGCGAAAUUCCUUGUCGGGUAAGUUCCGACCUGCACGAAUGGCAUAACGAUGGCCACACUGUCUCCUCCCGAGACUCAGUGAAGUUGAAAUGUUUGUGAUGAUGCAAUCUACCCGCGGCUAGACGGAAAGACCCCAUGAACCUUUACUGCAGCUUUGCAUUGAACUGUGAACCGAUUUGUGUAGGAUAGGUGGGAGGCAGAGAAGAGGCCACGCCAGUGGCCUUGGAGCCGACCUUGAAAUACCACCCUGAUUUGUUUGCGGUUCUAACCACGGACAGUGAUCCUGUCUUGGGACCGUGCAUGGUAGGCAGUUUGACUGGGGCGGUCUCCUCCUAAAGGGUAACGGAGGAGUACGAAGGUACGCUAGGUACGGUCGGAAAUCGUGCUGAUAGUGCAAUGGCAAAAGCGUGCUUGACUGCGAGAGCAACAACUCGAGCAGAUGCGAAAGCAGGUCAUAGUGAUCCGGUGGCUCUGAAUGGAAGGGCCAUCGCUCAACGGAUAAAAGGUACUCUGGGGAUAACAGGCUGAUACCGCCCAAGAGUUCAUAUCGACGGCGGUGUUUGGCACCUCGAUGUCGGCUCAUCUCAUCCUGGGGCUGUAGUCGGUCCCAAGGGUAUGGCUGUUCGCCAUUUAAAGAGGUACGUGAGCUGGGUUUAAAACGUCGUGAGACAGUUUGGUCCCUAUCUGCCGUGGGCGUUGGAAGAUUGACGGGGGCUGCUCCUAGUACGAGAGGACCGGAGUGGACGCACCUCUGGUGUACCGGUUGUCACGCCAGUGGCAUUGCCGGGUAGCUAAGUGCGGAAGAGAUAACCGCUGAAAGCAUCUAAGCGGGAAACUUGCCUGAAGAUGAGUCUUCCCGGAGGUUGAACCUCCCUCAAGAGUCGUCCGAGACCAGGACGUCGAUAGGUCAGGUGUGUAAGCGCUGUAAGGCGUUGAGCUAACUGAUACUAAUUGCUCGUGAGGCUUGAUC